AAUCUUCCGCAAUGGACGAAAGUCUGACGGAGCAACGCCGCGUGAGUGAUGAAGGCUUUCGGGUCGUAAAACUCUGUUGUUAGGGAAGAACAAGUGCUAGUUGAAUAAGCUGGCACCUUGACGGUACCUAACCAGAAAGCCACGGCUAACUACGUGCCAGCAGCCGCGGUAAUACGUAGGUGGCAAGCGUUAUCCGGAAUUAUUGGGCGUAAAGCGCGCGCAGGUGGUUUCUUAAGUCUGAUGUGAAAGCCCACGGCUCAACCGUGGAGGGUCAUUGGAAACUGGGAGACUUGAGUGCAGAAGAGGAAAGUGGAAUUCCAUGUGUAGCGGUGAAAUGCGUAGAGAUAUGGAGGAACACCAGUGGCGAAGGCGACUUUCUGGUCUGUAACUGACACUGAGGCGCGAAAGCGUGGGGAGCAAACAGGAUUAGAUACCCUGGUAGUCCACGCCGUAAACGAUGAGUGCUAAGUGUUAGAGGGUUUCCGCCCUUUAGUGCUGAAGUUAACGCAUUAAGCACUCCGCCUGGGGAGUACGGCCGCAAGGCUGAAAC
Molecule: ribosomal RNA, 550 nt
Filed under: uncultured bacterium
Lineage: Bacteria
Description: bacterial SSU rRNA
Rfam family: Bacterial small subunit ribosomal RNA
Source: RNAcentral